AUACAUGCAAGUAGAACGCACAGGAUGCACCGUAGUUUACUACACCGUAUUCUGUGAGUUGCGAACGGGUGAGUAACGCGUAGGUAACCUGCCUGGUAGCGGGGGAUAACUAUUGGAAACGAUAGCUAAUACCGCAUAAGAACAUUUACUGCAUGGUAGAUGUUUAAAAGGUGCAAAUGCAUCACUACCAGAUGGACCUGCGUUGUAUUAGCUAGUAGGUGAGGUAACGGCUCACCUAGGCGACGAUACAUAGCCGACCUGAGAGGGUGAUCGGCCACACUGGGACUGAGACACGGCCCAGACUCCUACGGGAGGCAGCAGUAGGGAAUCUUCGGCAAUGGGGGGAACCCUGACCGAGCAACGCCGCGUGAGUGAAGAAGGUUUUCGGAUCGUAAAGCUCUGUUGUUAAGGAAGAACGAGUGUGAGAAUGGAAAGUUCAUACUGUGACGGUACUUAACCAGAAAGGGACGGCUAACUACGUGCCAGCAGCCGCGGUAAUACGUAGGUCCCGAGCGUUGUCCGGAUUUAUUGGGCGUAAAGCGAGCGCAGGCGGUUAGAUAAGUCUGAAGUUAAAGGCAGUGGCUCAACCAUUGUAGGCUUUGGAAACUGUUUAACUUGAGUGCAGAAGGGGAGAGUGGAAUUCCAUGUGUAGCGGUGAAAUGCGUAGAUAUAUGGAGGAACACCGGUGGCGAAAGCGGCUCUCUGGUCUGUAACUGACGCUGAGGCUCGAAAGCGUGGGGAGCGAACAGGAUUAGAUACCCUGGUAGUCCACGC
RNAcentral lists this ribosomal RNA (774 nucleotides) under Streptococcus sp. sp2-iso-ab2x6. RNAcentral describes it as "bacterial SSU rRNA". It matches the Rfam family "Bacterial small subunit ribosomal RNA", at positions 51 to 800 of the family's 1533-position model. Lineage: Bacteria; Bacillati; Bacillota; Bacilli; Lactobacillales; Streptococcaceae. The record is from RNAcentral.